This 75-nucleotide transfer RNA is filed under the name Gammaproteobacteria bacterium. RNAcentral describes it as "tRNA-Glu". It matches the Rfam family "tRNA". From Rfam's summary of the family: Transfer RNA (tRNA) molecules are approximately 80 nucleotides in length. Their secondary structure includes four short double-helical elements and three loops (D, anti-codon, and T loops). Further hydrogen bonds mediate the characteristic L-shaped molecular structure. tRNAs have two regions of fundamental functional importance: the anti-codon, which is responsible for specific mRNA codon recognition, and the 3' end, to which the tRNAs corresponding amino acid is attached (by aminoacyl-tRNA synthetases). tRNAs cope with the degeneracy of the genetic code in two manners: having more than one tRNA (with a specific anti-codon) for a particular amino acid; and 'wobble' base-pairing, i.e. permitting non-standard base-pairing at the 3rd anti-codon position. Lineage: Bacteria; Pseudomonadati; Pseudomonadota; Gammaproteobacteria. The record is from RNAcentral.
GACCCCUUCGUCUAUUGGUUAGGACAUCAGGUUUUCAUCCUGAAAAGAGGGGUUCGAUUCCCCUAGGGGUCACCA